AACGAACGCUGGCGGCAUGCCUAACACAUGCAAGUCGAACGAGACCUUCGGGUCUAGUGGCGCACGGGUGCGUAACGCGUGGGAAUCUGCCCCUUGGUUCGGAAUAACAGUUAGAAAUGACUGCUAAUACCGGAUGAUGACGAAAGUCCAAAGAUUUAUCGCCGAGGGAUGAGCCCGCGUAGGAUUAGCUAGUUGGUGAGGUAAAGGCUCACCAAGGCGACGAUCCUUAGCUGGUCUGAGAGGAUGAUCAGCCACACUGGGACUGAGACACGGCCCAGACUCCUACGGGAGGCAGCAGUGGGGAAUAUUGGACAAUGGGCGCAAGCCUGAUCCAGCCAUGCCGCGUGUGUGAAGAAGGCCUUCGGGUUGUAAAGCACUUUUGUUGGGAAGAAAUCCUUAGCGAUAAUACCGCUGGGGAUGACGGUACCAAAAGAAUAAGCACCGGCUAACUACGUGCCAGCAGCCGCGGUAAGCAUACUCGUA
Molecule: ribosomal RNA, 483 nt
Filed under: uncultured bacterium
Lineage: Bacteria
Description: bacterial SSU rRNA
Rfam family: Bacterial small subunit ribosomal RNA
Source: RNAcentral